CACAAGCGGUGGAGUAUGUGGUUUAAUUCGAUGCAACGCGAAGAACCUUACCUCGGUCUUGACAUCCCGGAGACCCUUAGGAAACUAGGGGGUGCUUCCAUCUGGAAGAAUCUGGAGACAGGUGCUGCAUGGCUGUCGUCAGCUCGUGUCGUGAGAUGUUGGGUUAAGUCCCGCAACGAGCGCAACCCUUGCCUUUAGUUGCCAGCAGUUCGGCUGGGCACUCUAAAGGGACUGCCGGUGUUAAACCGGAGGAAGGUGGGGAUGACGUCAAGUCCUCAUGGCCUUUAUGACCAGGGCUACACACGUACUACAAUGGCCGAUACAAAGGGCAGCGACACUGCGAGGUGAAGCCAAUCCCGUAAAAUCGGUCUCAGUCCGGAUUGGAGUCUGCAACUCGACUCCAUGAAGUUGGAAUCGCUAGUAAUCGUGGAUCAGCAUGCCACGGUGAAUACGUUCCCGGGCCUU
This 465-nucleotide ribosomal RNA is filed under the name uncultured Desulfobulbus sp. RNAcentral describes it as "bacterial SSU rRNA". It matches the Rfam family "Bacterial small subunit ribosomal RNA", at positions 924 to 1382 of the family's 1533-position model. The record is from RNAcentral. Lineage: Bacteria; Pseudomonadati; Thermodesulfobacteriota; Desulfobulbia; Desulfobulbales; Desulfobulbaceae.